UGGGGGAUAUUGCACAAUGGGCGAAAGCCUGAUGCAGCGACGCCGCGUGGGGGAUGAAGGCUUUCGGGUUGUAAACCUCUUUCGCUAUCGAACAAGGCCCGCUUAGGGUGGGUUGAGGGUAGGUGGAGAAGAAGCGCCGGCUAACUACGUGCCAGCAGCCGCGGUAAUACGUAGGGCGCGAGCGUUGUCCGGAAUUAUUGGGCGUAAAGGGCUUGUAGGCGGCUUGUUGCGCCUGCUGUGAAAACGCGGGGCUUAACUUCGCGCGUGCAGUGGGUACGGGCAGGCGUGAGUGUGGUAGGGGUGACUGGAAUUCCAGGUGUAGCGGUGGAAUGCGCAGAUAUCUGGAGGAACACCGAUGGCGAAGGCAGGUCACUGGGCCAUUACUGACGCUGAGGAGCGAAAGCAUGGGUAGCGAACAGG
RNAcentral lists this ribosomal RNA (420 nucleotides) under bacterium. RNAcentral describes it as "partial 16S ribosomal RNA". It matches the Rfam family "Bacterial small subunit ribosomal RNA", at positions 355 to 776 of the family's 1533-position model. The record is from RNAcentral. RNAcentral also lists the same sequence under 2 other names.